RNAcentral lists this small RNA (370 nucleotides) under uncultured Fictibacillus sp. RNAcentral's name for it is "cspA thermoregulator". The record is from RNAcentral. Lineage: Bacteria; Bacillati; Bacillota; Bacilli; Caryophanales; Fictibacillaceae.
AUUUUUCGACAAAACUUCUCAUUUUUCGCCAAUCUUAAGCCUUUGACAACUUUUUUGGGUAUAUGUCAUACUAUAAAGUGUAUAGAAAAUCUAUACAAAGAUUCGCAUGAUGAAGGGAUUGUGAAACAUGUUAGGAAAAGUAAAAUGGUUUAACGCAGAAAAAGGUUUUGGAUUUAUUGAGCGCGAAGACGGAGACGAUGUGUUCGUACACUUCUCUGCAAUCAACACUGACGGAUUCAAAAGCCUUGACGAAGGUCAGCAAGUCGAGUUUGAUAUUGUAGAUGGAGCUCGUGGGCCUCAAGCGGCAAACGUAACUAAACUAUAAUUCAAGGUACUAUGACCAUACUUUUAAUCCCGUCUGUUCAGGCAG